Bubalus bubalis (water buffalo) is the source of this 526-nucleotide long non-coding RNA. RefSeq lists it as uncharacterized. The record is from RefSeq and is a predicted model, not a curated record. The transcript has 3 exons. NCBI's taxonomy places the organism in Eukaryota, Metazoa, Chordata, Mammalia, Artiodactyla, Bovidae.
AUUCUGGGAGGAGGAGAAGGAAAGAAAACGAAGGAAGAAGAAAGACAAAAGGGGUUUCUGGGGCCUUCAGGAGGAGAAGAGCCGAGAAGAACGAGAUAAGUUGGCUCCAGCUCUUGGACCUUCGUCGUGUCUUGGAUCAGCUUUCCAUGAGGUGUCCGAGCCUAUCUGCACCUCUGGCUGAUGUCAGCAUAAAGGGUCCUCACAGUGCCUGGUGCAUAGUAGGUGUGCAGUCAACACCUGUCAAUGAAUGAAUGAACAACCACGCACAUACAAAAGAAGAAAGAAAGUCCAAGCGCCCUGACUGAGAUGUGGAAUGUGGCUGUCGCCUUCUGCUAUUUCCACCAGAAACCCACCGCAGAGGUAUUUGUGUGGAAGGCAGGCAGAGGGAGAUUUCGGGAAGUCAGAGGGAAGGUUUCAAGUGCGACAAUAAAAACUUCAAACAGACAUUGGACAGUGCUGUUCUUUAAAGUUUCACCCCUGAGAAGUUUUCAUGGACCCUUUUAUCUCACACAGUUCCCCAGCCUGG